AGGUGUGAGGGAAAUCUGGCUGCAAUGUCUGUCAUUCCAUUGAUCACCAGGGUUGAGUUGGUCAAUCUAGCUUGCUAGGUGGGUGUCUCUUUACUCCCUCACUACUCUGUGAGUGUUCUUCCCGAAACUGCACACUUGGUCAAAGAAGAUGACCUUCCCUGAAAGAGCAGGACUUUCUGAAAGAGUAGAGGGUAUAGUUCUGCUAGAACCUCCAAACAAGCUCUCCAAGUCCAUUUGUAGGGGAACAUAUGGUAGUGAAGCUUCUAAGACUCCAGACGUAUACAGAUGAGGUGCUGCAUGUGGCAGUCUGCCUUUAUUA
RNAcentral lists this small nuclear RNA (319 nucleotides) under Felis catus (domestic cat). RNAcentral describes it as "7SK RNA". It matches the Rfam family "7SK RNA". Rfam says of the family: 7SK was discovered as an abundant small nuclear RNA in the mid-70s but a possible function has only recently been suggested. Two independent studies have found that 7SK RNA binds the CDK9/cyclin T complex (known as elongation factor P-TEFb). Lineage: Eukaryota; Metazoa; Chordata; Mammalia; Carnivora; Felidae. The record is from Rfam by way of RNAcentral.